UGAACGUUGGCGGCGUGGAUUUGGCAUGCAAGUCGCGCGAUAAAUUCCCGCAAGGGGAUGGAAAGCGGCGAAAGGGACAGUAAUGCGUAGAUACCUACCCUCGGGCUCGGGAUAGCUGCGGGAAACUGCAAUUAAUACCGAAUAACGCCUCCGGACCAAAGGUGUGAUUCCGCCUGGGGAUGGGUCUGCGUCCUAUUAGCUAGUUGGUGUGGUAACGGCGCACCAAGGCAAAGAUGGGUAGCAGGUGUGAGAGCACGACCUGCGUCACUGGGACUGAGACACUGCCCAGACACCUACGGGUGGCUGCAGUCGAGAAUCUUCGGCAAUGGGCGCAAGCCUGACCGAGCGACGCCGCGUGCGGGAUGAAGGCCUUCGGGUUGUAAACCGCUGUCAGAGAGGCGGAAAUAUAGGGGGGUUCUCCCUUCUAUUUGACCUAUUCUCAGAGGAAGUGCGGGCUAAGUCCGUGCCAGCAGCCGCGGUAACACGGACCGCACGAACGUUAUUCGGUAUCACUGGGCUUAAAGGGUGCGUAGGCGGCCUAGCAAGUUGGGUGUGAAAGCCCUCGGCUCAACCGAGGAAUUGCGCCCAAUACUGUUGGGCUCGAGAGAGACAGAGGUAAGCGGAACUAAUGGUGGAGCGGUGAAA
RNAcentral lists this ribosomal RNA (645 nucleotides) under uncultured soil bacterium. RNAcentral's name for it is "bacterial SSU rRNA". It matches the Rfam family "Bacterial small subunit ribosomal RNA", at positions 30 to 686 of the family's 1533-position model. The record is from RNAcentral.